GAUGAAGAACGUAGCGAAAUGCGAUAAGUAGUGUGAAUUGCAGAAUUCAGUGAAUCAUCGAAUCUUUGAACGCACAUUGCGCCCCUUGGUAUCCCGAGGGGCAUGCCUGUUCGAGCGUCAUUUCACCACUCAAGCCUGGCUUGGUGUUGGGCGACGUCCUCUUGGGGGACGCGCCUCGAAACGCUCGGCGGCGUGGCACCGGCUUUAAGCGUAGCAGAAUCUUUCGCUUUGGAAGUCGGGGCCCCGUCUGCCGGAAGACCUGCUCGCAAGGUUGACCUCGGAUCAGGCAGGGAUACCCGCUGAACUUAAGCAUAUCAAUAAGCGGAGGA
RNAcentral lists this unclassified non-coding RNA (329 nucleotides) under soil metagenome. RNAcentral's name for it is "partial contains 5.8S ribosomal RNA, internal transcribed spacer 2, and large subunit ribosomal RNA". The stretch from base 1 to 120 matches the Rfam family "5.8S ribosomal RNA", at positions 35 to 154 of the family's 154-position model. The record is from RNAcentral.